UAACCUGCGGAGGGAUCAUU
RNAcentral lists this ribosomal RNA (20 nucleotides) under Verticillium dahliae. Its description in RNAcentral is "partial 18S ribosomal RNA". Lineage: Eukaryota; Fungi; Ascomycota; Sordariomycetes; Glomerellales; Plectosphaerellaceae. RNAcentral also lists the same sequence under 1 other name. The record is from RNAcentral.